UACGUAGGGUGCAAGCGUUACUCGGAAUUACUGGGCGUAAAGCGUGCGCAGGCGGCUUUGCAAGACAGAUGUGAAAUCCCCGGGCUUAACCUGGGAACUGCAUUUGUGACUGCAAGGCUAGAGUGCGGCAGAGGGGGAUGGAAUUCCGCGUGUAGCAGUGAAAUGCGUAGAUAUGCGGAGGAACACCGAUGGCGAAGGCAAUCCCCUGGGCCUGCACUGACGCUCAUGCACGAAAGCGUGGGGAGCAAACAGG
Molecule: ribosomal RNA, 253 nt
Filed under: uncultured bacterium
Lineage: Bacteria
Description: partial 16S ribosomal RNA
Rfam family: Bacterial small subunit ribosomal RNA
Source: RNAcentral